RNAcentral lists this ribosomal RNA (402 nucleotides) under uncultured bacterium. RNAcentral describes it as "bacterial SSU rRNA". It matches the Rfam family "Bacterial small subunit ribosomal RNA", at positions 355 to 774 of the family's 1533-position model. The record is from RNAcentral.
UGGGGAAUAUUGCACAAUGGGGGAAACCCUGAUGCAGCGACGCCGCGUGAAGGAUGAAGUAUUUCGGUAUGUAAACUUCUAUCAGCAGGGAAGAAAAUGACGGUACCUGACUAAGAAGCCCCGGCUAACUACGUGCCAGCAGCCGCGGUAAUACGUAGGGGGCAAGCGUUAUCCGGAUUUACUGGGUGUAAAGGGAGCGUAGACGGCAUUGCAAGUCUGGAGUGAAAACCCGGGGCUCAACCCCGGGAUUGCUUUGGAAACUGUGGAGCUGGAGUACCGGAGAGGCAAGUGGAAUUCCUAGUGUAGCGGUGAAAUGCGUAGAUAUUAGGAGGAACACCAGUGGCGAAGGCGGCUUGCUGGACGGUAACUGACGUUGAGGCUCGAAAGCGUGGGGAGCAAACA